Molecule: ribosomal RNA, 274 nt
Filed under: uncultured bacterium
Lineage: Bacteria
Description: partial 16S ribosomal RNA
Rfam family: Bacterial small subunit ribosomal RNA
Source: RNAcentral
AUACGGAGGGAGCAAGCGUUAUUCGGAAUCACUGGGCGUAAAGGACGCGUAGGCGGGUUUGUAAGUCAGGUGUGAAAUCCUACAGCUCAACUGUAGAACUGCACUUGAAACUACAGACCUAGAGUAUGGAAGGGGCAGAUGGAAUUAGUGGUGUAGGGGUAAAAUCCGUAGAUAUCACUAGGAAUACCGAAAGCGAAGGCGAUCUGCUGGGACAUUACUGACGCUGAGGCGUGAAAGCGUGGGUAGCAAACAGGAUUAGAAACCCCGGUAGUCC